GAGGAAUAGUUAGGCUUACUACGGACCUCGGGGGUUUUAGGCUGGCCUAGGUCCUAGUAUCAGUCCAGCCCAUAAAUUGGGUCGUGACACUUGUUUUCCUUCCUAUGGCUUGGAAAUUCUUCUUGUUAUUUUUCUCCAUGCUACCCAUAAAUUUAUUUUUCAUGUCUACAUCUUCUGAUUUGAGGAUGCUUUAGUUAACUGAUAUGAACAACAUUUAACGAUGCUAAAAUUGGUGUUUUAUGGUUUAAUUUAAAUAAUUUAGGAACUUAUGAGGACCCAUAAAAAACAUAGGAAUUUUUUUUACCAUCGUAGCAAUAAAUAAAGGGUCAAAAAAUUACAUCUAUGAAUAAGUUUCAUAAAAUUAUAAUUAUUAAGAAAUUUUUAAAAUAAUUAGAAUGAUUUAUAUAUUUAUUACUUUUUUUCCCUUGAGUGAUUUAUCUUUUCCACUUAAGAGCUGUGUCAACCUUGGGAGUUCAAGGUUUCGAAAAAUAAGACCUUGGGAGCUAAGGAUGUAGAUUACUUUUAAAAAUGAAAAGUUAAGGAAUGCAGAUUACUUUUAAAAAAGAAAAGUUAAAGAAUGUAGAUUACUUAUUAGUUAAGGCGUUCUAUUUAAUAUUUAUGCAGUUUGAACAGAUUGAAAAUUCAUUGCUUCCGUGGUCUCUUCUCAAAUCAAAUAUUCUUCGCCACCUAAUCUCAAUUCUUCCAUUCCCAUGAAGGUUGGACUGUUGUUCGGUGGAUUUCAGAGGAAUUUUAUGCUCAGUUUUUGUGGGCUUGUUUGGACCAUCUAAACAAGAAUGGGGAGCCAAUCUAUUAAGUUGAAGGCAGUAAUAGACAAGGAGAAAAACAGAGUAAUACUUGCUGAAUCUGAAGGGGAUUUUAUUGAUGUUCUCCUCAGUUUUUUAACAAUGCCUAUGGGAACGAUCAUCAGGCUCACCCGUUAUCAACUUCCAAGCAUUGGUUGCAUGAACAACUUGUAUGCAAGUGUUGAAAAUCUUGAUGUCAGGCGUUUCAGGACUCAAGCAUGCAAGGAAAUGCUUCUAAGUCCUCUGAAUGGGGCUGCAACUCACUGCAAUUACCUGAAAUUGAAAAUUGACUACAUGACCAAUAAUCUAGAAUACCUUUAUUGUGGGGACUCGGAGUGCGUGGCAUCUAAGCACAAAUUAUUUACUCAUUACGGUGGUAGCUUUUGUGGUUGUGGAAAGCCCAUGAAGUAUUCGUUAAAUCAGUUGUCUAAUGCUGAGUCAAAUAAUAUUGUUGUUUCUGAUCCUCGAGAUGAAGGGGUGUUUGUUAGAGGACUGACCCGACUUAUAAUAAGUGACGAAUUACAUUUGAUGCCCCCAUCAGCCACAGCAAGCUUCUCUUUGCUUGCCAAGCAUGGAGUCAUGGAUGCAAAUACCAUGGAGGAAAGGACGUUUGAUGUUCAUGUAUAUGAGGUUUUGAAUUUGCUGAAGAGCACCUUGGUAUCAAAGACACCUUUGACAGAAACUCUAUUAAAGCAACAACGAAUGCCUGAACCAAGGAAGGAAGAUUUAGGUGUAGGGUGGUUCAUUAAACAGAAGAUAGGAGAACAUGCAACUGAAGGAGAUAGGAAGAUUUGUGUCAGGCUCGUGCUGAGUAAAUCCAAGAAGAUGGUAUGUUAUGCAGAAGCCGCGGAGGAUUUUGUUGAUUUACUAUUCAGCUUCCUUACCAUUCCUCUUGGGUUUAUAGUCAAAGAAAUGCGUGGUUAUCCUUCCAAAGGAUGCAUAACUCAUUUAUAUGAUAGUGUUGAGGAACUUGAUACUGAGAAAUACUUCAAGUCAAAUGACCACAAAGAGACUCUACUUAGUCCCAAGAUGGCAUCUCGUUUUGGCUACAAGAACCAGCUAAUAGGGGUGGAAGAAGUUAAUCAGCAGUACUAUUUGUCGGGAGAUUAUCCUUGUAUUUUUACUCAUAAACCAACUAACAGGAAAUUUUCUACUUUAAACAUGAAUGAUCCUAAAGCACCACUUUAUAAGGAACAAGCUAUAAGCAAUGGAGGAUUUGUGUUGGGACCUGAAACGUUUACAGUAACCGAUGAUCUGAGAGUAACACCAAUAUCCCCUGUCUUACGUUUGUCUGUUCUGAGCCAAUUGAAAGUACCUUUCAGUGACAUUGAAGAGCGCAUUGUGCAUGUGGGCAAUGAGGAGGUGAGUCAUGUUAACUUGAGUUCUGUUCUGUCGUAAAACAUCCUAUGAAUUAUGAGUAUCAACCUUUUUAUUAUUCAAUCUUUAGGUCAUGUUAGUUUAGCUUUAUUAUAGAAAUAUUUGUUGAUUUUAUUUUAUGAUGAAUUUCUUGUCAUUCAUUUUUUAAAAAAUAAAUUUGGAUUAUGUAAUAAUAAAUUAAAAUAAAAAAAUAGAAAAAGAAAAAAGAAAUGUCCUAUAGGAAAAAUGUCCUAUAGGAAACUCGAUCGUCCCGACCUGAAACUUUUGUAGGACUGGAUAGAGGGAGUGAUCCUCGCUUUUGAUAGGCCCCAUUACCAUUCCUUAAAAAUAGAAAAUGAAAAAAAAGAAAAACCCUAAAAAAGAUUUUGUAGUUGUUCAUAUUUGUUGAUUACUGUGAACCUGUAAUUACUUUGAUCAGUGGAUGUUCAAGCCUUAUUGGCACAAACAUAUGUAUUUUGAAUUUCUGAUAGGGUUUUCCUAUCAGAAUUCUCUUUGAUCAAAUUGACCAUUUUGCAGAAUAGAGUGCUAAAAUGGCAAGUUUACAAAAGAUGAUGAGCUCUGCAAUUUCUGGAAGGAUAAUUACCCAUAUUAUGUAGUGAUAACUCUGUUAUAAAUAUCUAAUUCAUUCCUGUUGUUGUUGAUCACUUGCCAACAUAUUUCGUAUCACAGGCUUUGCGUCUCCUGGUAGCUUCAUUUAUCUCUGAAUCUGCUCUAACUGAUACUUUUACCCCCAAAAGGCUAGAACAAGAAUACUGAGGCCUUGAAGCCAUCUUUGUUCUCUUAGUGGAGUCUGGAGCAAAGAGGAUGCACUGGUUUAUGAUCCUUUGUAUUUUGGUAUGUAAAUUUGUUGUCUCUACUUUUUGUUGACCCACAUAUGAUGUCCCAGUGAAUGAUGGUCUUGUAUUAUUAUUUAAAGUUCAACUUAUCUACUGAUAGUUGUAAUAGUGAUGGGUUUGUUUGAUAGAUUUAUUAAAUAAUUUGAUUCAGCUGUUUAGAUAUUUUUAAAUUAUCAGUUGUAUUGAAAAGUUAAAUCAAACACCCAUUUAAUGGUUAAGGACUAAUUAAUAUAAUUUUAAAAAUAAAGAGAUUUGAG
This 3273-nucleotide unclassified non-coding RNA is filed under the name Hevea brasiliensis (rubber tree). The record is from RNAcentral. Lineage: Eukaryota; Viridiplantae; Streptophyta; Magnoliopsida; Malpighiales; Euphorbiaceae.